Molecule: ribosomal RNA, 327 nt
Filed under: uncultured eukaryote
Lineage: Eukaryota
Description: partial 18S ribosomal RNA
Rfam family: Eukaryotic small subunit ribosomal RNA
Source: RNAcentral
CCCUUAGAUGUUCUGGGCUGCACGCGCGCUACACUGACGCACUCAACGAGUAUUCUUCCUUGGCAGAGAUGCCUGGGUAAUCUGUGAAUAUGCGUCGUGAUGGGGAUAGAUCAUUGCAAUUAUUGAUCUUCAACGAGGAAUUCCUAGUAAACGCACGUCAUCAGCGUGCAUUGAUUACGUCCCUGCCCUUUGUACACACCGCCCGUCGCUCCUACCGAUUGGGUGUGCUGGUGAAAUGUUCGGAUCGGCCGUUUGUCGCGGUUUCCGCGGCUCGUGGCUGAGAAGUUCAUUAAACCCUCCCACCUAGAGGAAGGAGAAGUCGUAACA